AUUAAUCAAGUGUUGAAAUUCGAUCAAGAUCUUAAUUCUGUUGAAGUUCAAAGUAGUAGUGCAGGUACGGUAAAGGUAAUUGGAAGUUCAUUUUGAAUGUGUAUGGAGAUAUUUUGGUUGAGAGAACUGAGGUUGAUUUGAAGGAUAAAUGGAGAAACAUGACAACACGUGGCUUAUGUUUUAUUUUGGGAAAACACGUGGCUUAUGUUUUAUUUUGGGAAAACACGUGGCUUAUGUUUUAUUUUGGGAAAACACGUGGCUUAUGUUUUAUUUUGGGAAAACAAGUGGCUUAUGUUUUAUUUUGCGAAAACAAGUGACUUAUGUUUUAUUUUGGGAAAACACGUGGCUUAUGUUACC
Long non-coding RNA from Impatiens glandulifera, 357 nucleotides. RefSeq lists it as uncharacterized. The record is from RefSeq and is a predicted model, not a curated record. NCBI's taxonomy places the organism in Eukaryota, Viridiplantae, Streptophyta, Magnoliopsida, Ericales, Balsaminaceae. The transcript has 3 exons.